UGAGGAACAUGACCUUCGGCGGGGGAUAGCCGGCCCAACGGCCGGGUAAUACCGCGUACGACCACAUGGGGACAUCCCUGAGUGGUGAAAGCAGCAAUGCGCCGAUGGGGUGCCUCGCGGCCUAUCAGCUAGUUGGUGAGGUAACGGCUCACCAAGGCGACGACGGGUANCUGGUCUGAGAGGAUGGCCAGCCACAUUGGGACUGAGACACGGCCCAGACUCCGUAGGGAGG
RNAcentral lists this ribosomal RNA (232 nucleotides) under uncultured bacterium. RNAcentral's name for it is "partial 16S ribosomal RNA". It matches the Rfam family "Bacterial small subunit ribosomal RNA", at positions 118 to 348 of the family's 1533-position model. The record is from RNAcentral.